GGUGACCUUGUCUGCAAUCUUCCUCAUUUUCCCUUCUUUUUGGUAUGUGCAGGAAAGGUACCAGCAGAUUGAUCCAUUUGAGCAGUAUCCCUCAUAUCCACUUAAUCCAUUUCUAAAUCCAUAUGGCAAUCAAUACCCUUACUGAGUACGUACAGGACAAGAUUAGAGAGGCUUCACUCAAAAAUCCAGUUACAGCAUUUCUUUUCUCAUCCUUCACAUCACAGAAUAACUCCCUCACAUCAUGGGAAAGGACCACAGCACCAAGCAAAAUGAAGACCAGGAUCUAAUUUACUACCUUCUCCUCAGGAUAAUCACCUUCUUUAUUAAUCUUUCUUCAGACAAUCAAUCUCAUGCUCUGACGCUGAUUUCACUA
This 373-nucleotide long non-coding RNA is filed under the name Chinchilla lanigera (long-tailed chinchilla). Its description in RNAcentral is "lncRNA (ENSCLAG00000027852.1)". The record is from RNAcentral. Lineage: Eukaryota; Metazoa; Chordata; Mammalia; Rodentia; Chinchillidae.